Molecule: long non-coding RNA, 1002 nt
Filed under: Lonchura striata (white-rumped munia)
Lineage: Eukaryota; Metazoa; Chordata; Aves; Passeriformes; Estrildidae
Description: domestica (Bengalese finch) lncRNA (ENSLSDG00000003734.1)
Source: RNAcentral
CCCGGCCUUCCUGCGGGAGCUGCGCGAGCGCAUCUGCAUCGAGCGCAAGCCCCUCAGGUUCUGUGCUGAGCGGCUCCACUCCCUCCUCCGCACCCUCGCCCUCCCCGACGUCGCCGACUUCUCCCCGAUCACCCUCGUGGCCAAUUUCGCCACCUUGGUCAGCACCUACAGCAAAGGUGGGCAAAAAACCCCAAAAUACCCCAAAAAUAGCCCAAAAAUAUCCUAACAAUAUCCCAAAAAUAUCCUAACAAUAUCCCCAAAAUACCCCAAAAAUAUCCCCAAAAAUACACCAAAACCCUGGUCAGCACCUACAGCAAAGGUGGGCAAAAAACCCCCAAAAUACCCCAAAAAUAGCCCAAAAAUAGCCUAAAAAUAUCCCAAAAAUAUCCUAACAAUAUCCCCAAAAUACCCUAAAAAUACCCCAAAAAUAUCCCCAAAAAUACACCAAAACCCUGGUCAGCACCUACAGCAAAGGUGGGCAAAAAACCCCCCAAAUACCCCAAAAAUAUCCUAACAAUAUCCCCAAAAUACCCUAAAAAUAUCCCAAAAAUAUCCUAACAAUAUCCCCAAAAUACCCUAAAAAUAUCCCAAAAAUAUCCCAAAAAUAUCCCCCAAAAUAUCCCCAAAAAUACACCAAAAAUAUCCCAAAAAAUAUCCCCAAAAAUACCCCAAAACCCUGGUCAGCACCUACAGCAAAGGUGGGCAAAAAAACCCCAAAAUACCCCAAAAAUAUCCCAAAAAUAGCCCAAAAAUAUCCCCAAAAUUCCCCACAAAAUCACCAAAUCUUCCCACCAAACCCUAAAAAUCCCCCAAAAUUCCCCCAAAACCCCAAAAUUCCCCCCAAAAACCCCCAAAAAACCCCAAAUUCUACCCAAAAUCCCCAACAAAACCCAAAAUUCCCCCAACCCCCCCCAAAAUACCCCAGAAACCCCCAAAAUUCUACCCAAAAUCCCCAACAAAACCCAAAAUUCCCCCAAAAUUCCCCCCAAAAUCCCCCAAAAA